Non-coding RNA from Gasterosteus aculeatus aculeatus (three-spined stickleback), 1947 nucleotides. The record is from RefSeq and is a predicted model, not a curated record. Lineage: Eukaryota; Metazoa; Chordata; Actinopteri; Perciformes; Gasterosteidae.
GCCGAAUGUAAUCCACAGAAGAGGCCUCUUAGCGGAGCCCAAUCCCAUCCCGACAUUGCUCGCCGGGAAACAAGACAACAGAAAAAUUGCGAAAGACAUCCCUCGCAAGCCCGCGCCAGCAGAAGACAGGGUGGUCACGUGACGCGCGCUGCCGUGGUGGUGGAUGCUCCGCUCUCCGGGUCACGGACACACUCACUCCCAGGGAGGUUUGUACUAACGUUAUCUAAAAUAUGUCUAUGGUAUGUGCAUAAAUAUUUUUGUGUUUAUUGGAAACGCACAUAACUACAGCAUAUAACAUUCCCGUCUUGAAGGCUCUCAUAUAGUUCGAUUGCAUUAAUGGCAACAUCUACAUUUGCAGUGAACCAAUUUAAUAGGAGGUAAUAUUUGAAGCUGAGUAAUGUCAAUCACGGAAAAAGAAACGUUUACAUCAAUAUACUUUUUUUAUUGUUUACUCUUUUUCAGAGAUUUAAUAGCUUGCUUUUUCAGAUGUUUAUAUCUUACAAUAUCCUCAGAUUUCGUCAUUUGUAAAAACAUUCACGAGGUAUGUAUAAAAAAAAAACAGAGCAUCACUAAGUAAGACAGAUCAAUCCACACACUUCCUCAGACAUAUACAUAAAAUGUAUGCAAUUGUCCCAAUGUAUUUUACACAUACAGAUACACAUUUAUAUAUAAAAUACACUUUAACAGUGUUUGGUAUUUAUUCAAUUUGUUGUCGUAAUUGGGGCUUCUCUUUUCAAUAUGUCAUUUUCAUGAAAACUAGAUAAAAGUUCCAUAUAGAAAAGGAAAACUAUGAUCGCCUGUGGCAGUCUUUCACAGAAAGACCAGAGGAAGGCAAGAACAUAACUCAAGCCUACCCUGCCUCUACCAAACAAGGAAACUAAGCAAAAUCACUUACUCCUUGGUACAAAAAAAAAGUUUUACAACUGCGAAAAACCAAAGCAUAUGCCUGUAGCAUCUAAUGCCAGGCUCGAGUCAAAAAACUCAGUCGUCCUUGCAUCCUUUUUACUGGAUGGUUAAGAAAAUCAAAGUCCUCUCUAGUUCCUGUCGAGGAGUCCCAAAUAUGAUCAAUUAUAUUUGAUAAUAUGUUUUUACUACCGAAAUUAAAAAUAAUUUUCUAGUAACACAAGAAUGGUUACAGAUCAGGAUUUGAACACCACCAAUGGUCAAAUCGGCUUAAGGUAUUCAGGUCGAAGAGAACAGAUCAUGAAGCAAAGGGCAAAUAGACAAUAUAUCCUUCGAAAGAAGCAGCUAUAAACAACCCUGACCAAUGGAAUUUAUGUGACGGUGAAAGGGGAAAAUAAAUAAAGGUAAAGAAAAUUAGAAUAUCAGCAGGUCUGCCUCUCAAAUCACACACAAAAAAUAAAAUAAGCAUUUUGUUGGGAUUAAUUCGUAGCAGAACAAUAAUGCAUUUGCAAUCUUACGGUUUCUCCUUUGCAUCAUCUUGGUAAGAACAAAUAUGAACACAAAGUUCCAUUUUGGUUGGGUUCUACUUCUGCAGGGAGAAGUUCUUUGUGAUUGUUGUGGGGCAGGACGGGCUGCUCCAACCAGUAAAUAUUCUCUAUUAAAUGUCCGACUGCACUCCAGAUUAGUCCUUCGAAAGGAAUCAUCUCUUCAGUAAAUCUUCUUCCUCUCUCCCUCAUUUUAUUGCCGUUCAUUUCAGUAAGCGAACGAAAAGGAACCGAAAAGUUCCACAGGUAUUUUACAAAGAAACGGUCUUUUAUCACUGAGGAAGCAGCGGUGAACACAAUCAGAACAUACAAAAAAACGAGCCGGCAAAAUACCACAGCCUAAUCCCUGGGGGUUGGAUUUUUUUUUUUUUAAUUCUGAAAUUCUUCUAAUCUUGAUGUUUCUCAAAACUCCGUGGCAGACUUUGAAGCUUUUGAAAAAUGUACUGGUUGAGGUGGAAAGGAGCACAGGAAUAAUUGGGGGAGGAAGGGGUGGAGGAAU